This 405-nucleotide ribosomal RNA is filed under the name Pichia kudriavzevii. Its description in RNAcentral is "eukaryotic LSU rRNA". It matches the Rfam family "Eukaryotic large subunit ribosomal RNA", at positions 242 to 667 of the family's 3401-position model. The record is from RNAcentral. Lineage: Eukaryota; Fungi; Ascomycota; Pichiomycetes; Pichiales; Pichiaceae.
AAGCAGGGAAGCCCUUUGACGAGUCGAGUGUUUGGGAAUGCAGCUCCAAGCGGGUGGUAAAUUCCAUCUAAGGCUAAUACUGGCGAGAGACCGAUAGCGAACAAGUACUGUGAAGGAAAGAUGAAAAGCACUUUGAAAAGAGAGUGAAACAGCACGUGAAAUUGUGAAAGGGAAGGGUAUCGCGCCCGACAUGGGGAUUGCGCACCGCUGCCUCUCGUGGGCGGCGCUCUGGGCUUUCCCUGGGCCAGCAUCGGUUCUUGCUGCAGGAGAAGGGGUUCUGGAACGUGGCUCUUCGGAGUGUUAUAGCCAGGGCCAGAUGCUGCGUGCGGGGACCGAGGACUGCGGCCGUGUAGGUCACGGAUGCUGGCAGAACGGCGCAACACCGCCCGUCUUGAAACACGGACC